CCUACGGGAGGCAGCAGUGGGGAAAUAUGGGACAAUGGGCGAAAGCCUGAUCCAGCCAUGCCGCGUGUGUGAAGAAGGCCUUUUGGUUGUAAAGCACUUUAAGCGAGGAGGAGGCUACUUAGAUUAAUACUCUAGGAUAGUGGACGUUACUCGCAGAAUAAGCACCGGCUAACUCUGUGCCAGCAGCCGCGGUAAU
Molecule: ribosomal RNA, 196 nt
Filed under: uncultured Acinetobacter sp.
Lineage: Bacteria; Pseudomonadati; Pseudomonadota; Gammaproteobacteria; Moraxellales; Moraxellaceae
Description: partial 16S ribosomal RNA
Rfam family: Bacterial small subunit ribosomal RNA
Source: RNAcentral